This 1371-nucleotide long non-coding RNA is filed under the name Vulpes vulpes (red fox). RNAcentral's name for it is "lncRNA (ENSVVUG00000029953.1)". Lineage: Eukaryota; Metazoa; Chordata; Mammalia; Carnivora; Canidae. The record is from RNAcentral.
UAAACUGUGACUAAGGUUGAAGGCCAGCCCCUGUGCCUGGCUUUUUAAGAAGGGCCACCGGGAUUUCCUGAAUAAUAGUGACCUGGGAGGAGCCACAGGGUUGGCCAGAGGCCCAAGGGAAAAGGCGGUUCCUUGGAGGAUUUUUCAGUGAAAUGCCACUGAGAGGUGUCCCAUCCACCCUGCGUUCCUGCCCACCCCACAGCAGCUGCUGAAGUACCUGUGUUUUCUGUAUGCCUGGAUUCCUGGUGGAAGCCACCGGAGGGCCAGAUUCCAUGCUGGUUUCCAUCGUGGGGAUGGCACUGUACACAGGAUAUGUCUUCAUGCCUCAGCACAUCAUGGCAAUACUGCACUACUUUGAAAUAGUACAAUGACCAAGAUGUGACCAGAAUUGAGCGGCUCCUUAGGGAAGAACCACCCUUUGAUGUUGGAAUGAAACCUCAUCAGAUGUCAUAAGAAACUCUACUAGAUGUCAACAUAACCAACCCUAUGAAUAUAAAGACUAAAAUUCAUGAGUAGAACAGGAAAAUAAUCCUGACUCAUGUGUUGUGUUCUUUAUUUUUAAUUUUAAAAGAGGCUCUUGUAUAGUAGUUUUUGUCUAUUUUAACAUUGUAGUCAUUUGUACUUUGAUAUCAGUAUUUUCUUAACCUUUGUGACUGUUUCAAUAUUACCCUGUGAAAGCUUUUCUUAAUGUAACUUUGAGUACAUUUUAAUUGCCUUCUAUUUCUAAAACCCAAAGUCAUUAGUUGGGCUUUACUGUUCUUGCUAUUGUAUGGCACAUACAUCUGCCUGGAUAUAUUUCUACUCUUGACCAAAGUUUUGUAAGAAACAAUACAAGAUUUGGGGCAGGGGGAUGGGGAGGGAGGAUAUUUUAUUGAGAACUAUUUACUAAAGACUUAUCUGUAAGUUUGAACUCAGGAGUACAGUUUUAGCUAUCUAGACUCUACUCUUAACAGCUUUUGCUUAUCACUAUUAAAGUAUUUCUUAACAAUGAAAAAGGAAGAUCUUGCUAAAGUUAAAAUAAGGAACAUUUCACCUUUUAAAUAUUUAAUUCUUAUGUGGACUCAUUUCCAGAAAACUUUGGUGAUGAUUCUUAUGACAGGAGGUGGUUAAAUAGCAUUAUUAUGUAAUGCUUAUAUGCCACAGAGUUUUUAGUAGAAAGUAAAUCAGUUUCCUUUGAGUUAUUAUUAACAAUGUACUUCCUUAAAUUUAGUUUCAUGAUUGUAAUGGGUGCUGCAAAUGCAUUUGCACAUUGCAAUAAGAUGAGAUGAAUUGUUAAAAACUAUAGCAAAAAGAAAUGUAAACUUGGUUAAAAUCCUUUCACUCUUUGUAUUUUUUUUUAAAGAUUUUUAUUCCUUAAAUGUAAAAUGACUA